Molecule: ribosomal RNA, 500 nt
Filed under: uncultured bacterium
Lineage: Bacteria
Description: bacterial SSU rRNA
Rfam family: Bacterial small subunit ribosomal RNA
Source: RNAcentral
AAAGGAAUAGACGGGGGCUCACACAAGCGGUGGAGGAUGUGGCUUAAUUCGAGGCUACGCGAAGAACCUUAUCCUAGGUUUGACAUGUACGGAUUAACCCGGUGAAAGCCGGGCCACAACUUCGGUUGGAACGUGCACAGGUGCUGCAUGGCUGUCGUCAGCUCGUGUCGUGAGAUGUCGGGUUAAGUCCCUUAACGAGCGAAACCCUUAUCUUUAGUUGCCAGCGAGUCAUGUCGGGGACUCUAAAGAGACUGCCGGUGUUAAACCGGAGGAAGGUGGGGAUGACGUCAAGUCCUCAUGGCCUUUAUGCCUAGGGCUGCACACGUCCUACAAUGGUGCGGACAAAGGGAAGCCAACUCGUGAGAGCGAGCAAAUCCCAAAAACCGCACCCCAGUUCGGAUUGCAGGCUGCAACUCGCCUGCAUGAAGCCGGAAUCGCUAGUAAUCGUAGGUCAGCAUACUACGGUGAAUAUGUUCCUGAGCCUUGUACACACCGCCCGU